AACCUCCGCAAUGUAUGAAAGUGCGACGGGGGGAUCCCAAGUGUUAUGCUUUUUUGUAUAACUUUUCAUUAGUGUAAAAGCUUUUAGAAUAAGAGCUGGGCAAGACCGGUGCCAGCCGCCGCGGUAACACCGGCAGCUCGAGUGGUAGCUGUUUUUAUUGGACCUAAAGCGUUCGUAGCCGGUUUGAUAAGUCUUUGGUGAAAGCUUGUAGCUUAACUAUAAGAAUUGCUGGAGAUACUAUUAGACUUGAAGUCGGGAGAGGUUAGAGGUACUACCGGGGUAGGGUGAAAUCCUAUAAUCCUGGGAGGACCACCUGUGGCGAAGGCGUCUAACUGGAACGAUCUUGACGGUGAGUAACGAAAGCCAGGGGCGCGAACCGGAUUAGAUACCCGGGUAGUCCUGGCCGUAAACGAUGUGGACUUGGUGUUGGAAUGGCUUUGAGCCGCUCCAGUGCCGAAGGGAAGCUGUUAAGUCCGCCGCCUGGGAAGUACGGUCGCAAGACUGAAACUUAAAGGAAUU
This 519-nucleotide ribosomal RNA is filed under the name uncultured bacterium. RNAcentral's name for it is "bacterial SSU rRNA". It matches the Rfam family "Archaeal small subunit ribosomal RNA", at positions 345 to 866 of the family's 1478-position model. The record is from RNAcentral.